This 717-nucleotide ribosomal RNA is filed under the name Triticum aestivum (bread wheat). RNAcentral's name for it is "partial small subunit ribosomal RNA". The record is from RNAcentral. Lineage: Eukaryota; Viridiplantae; Streptophyta; Magnoliopsida; Poales; Poaceae.
AUGUGGCAGGGCUGUCAUAAAACAUAUGAAAUGGAUAUGCAAGCUCAGUUUAUGAGAUCUCUGACUAAAGGACCUAAACUAGAUUUUCCUAGAUUUUCUAGUGAAGAUCCAGUGGGUUGGAUUAGGCAAUGCAACAAAUAUUUCCAAAUGUCAACAGCACCUGAUGAGUAUAAAGUUUCCCUUGCCCAAAUGUAUAUCAUUGGAGAAGCUGAUACCUGGUUAAGAAGAUCUGGACUGUUGAAGAAGCAACUCUCAUGGACACAAUUUGGGAAAGAGGUCAUAAAAAGAUUUGCAGAGCAUGGUUCUUAUGACUUAACUGAGAAAUUUAACUCUCUGAAGCAAGGCAACAGUUCAGUUUUUGAAUACACAAAGAGUUUUGAAGAUCUUAUGGCAGAAGUGUUGGAAGAAACACCUGAAUUAGGAGAACAGUGGUUUGUGAGAUAUUUUGUCAAUGGCUUAAAGGAAGGAAUUAAAUUCCAAAUCAGGCCACUCAUACCACAAUCUCUGACAGAUGUCUACUGUUUAGCUAAGGAGGUGGAGCCAAACCAUCGACCAACAAAUACAAUGCAGAAGAAACAGCAGAGUUCCUUUGUGAAUUUCUACCAAAAGAAUAGUGGAAAUUUCCAAAACAAGAGCAGUACUACAACAACCAUACCCCAGCAGAGUGGACAAAAUAAGCAGGCUGAGGGCACCAACAACAAUCCUCAAAAAACUUAG